RNAcentral lists this unclassified non-coding RNA (219 nucleotides) under plant metagenome. RNAcentral's name for it is "partial contains small subunit ribosomal RNA, internal transcribed spacer 1, and 5.8S ribosomal RNA". The record is from RNAcentral.
UUUCCGUAGGUGAACCUGCGGAAGGAUCAUUACAGAGUUCAUGCCCUCACGGGUAGAUCUCCCACCCUUGAAUAUUAUACCUUAGUUGCUUUGGCAGGCCGUGGAAACACCAUGGGCUCCGGCUUAUGCGUGCCUGCCAGAGGAAACAAACUCUGUUUUUAGUGAUGUCUGAGUACUAUAUAAUAGUUAAAACUUUCAACAACGGAUCUCUUGGUUCUG